This 206-nucleotide ribosomal RNA is filed under the name uncultured bacterium. RNAcentral's name for it is "partial 16S ribosomal RNA". It matches the Rfam family "Bacterial small subunit ribosomal RNA", at positions 568 to 774 of the family's 1533-position model. The record is from RNAcentral.
CGUGUAGGCGGUUGGAGAAGUCUGGUGUGAAAUGCCUCAGCUUAACUGGGGCGCUGCGCCGGAAACUUUCUGACUGGAGUUCGGGAGGGUCACUGGAAUUCCCGGUGUAACGGUGAAAUGUGUAGAUAUCGGGAGGAACACCUGUGGCGAAGGCGGGUGACUGGACCGUAACUGACGCUGAGACGCGAAAGCGUGGGGAGCAAACA